UGUGAACGUUACCAAACUGUUGCCUCGGCGGGAUCUCUGCCCCGGGUGCGUCGCAGCCCCGGACCAAGGCGCCCGCCGGAGGACCAACCAAAACUCUUUUUGUAUACCCCCUCGCGGGUUUUUUAUAAUCUGAGCCUUCUCGGCGCCUCUCGUAGGCGUUUCGAAAAUGAAUCAAAACUUUCAACAACGGAUCUCUUGGUUCUGGCAUCGAUGAAGAACGCAGCGAAAUGCGAUAAGUAAUGUGAAUUGCAGAAUUCAGUGAAUCAUCGAAUCUUUGAACGCACAUUGCGCCCGCCAGUAUUCUGGCGGGCAUGCCUGUCCGAGCGUCAUUUCAACCCUCGAACCCCUCCGGGGGGUCGGCGUUGGGGAUCGGCCCUCCCUUAGCGGGUGGCCGUCUCCGAAAUACAGUGGCGGUCUCGCCGCAGCCUCUCCUGCGCAGUAGUUUGCACACUCGCAUCGGGAGCGCGGCGCGUCCACAGCCGUUAAACACCCAACUUCUGAAAUGUUGACCUCGGAUCAGGUAGGAAUACCCGCUGAACUUAAGCAUAUCAAUAAGCGGAGGAA
Molecule: unclassified non-coding RNA, 564 nt
Filed under: Trichoderma harzianum
Lineage: Eukaryota; Fungi; Ascomycota; Sordariomycetes; Hypocreales; Hypocreaceae
Description: sequence contains ITS1, 5.8S rRNA gene and ITS2
Rfam family: 5.8S ribosomal RNA (bases 176-329)
Source: RNAcentral